CCAGACUCCUACGGGAGGCAGCAGUGGGGAAUAUUGCACAAUGGGGGAAACCCUGAUGCAGCAACGCCGCGUGAGUGAAGAAGUAUUUCGGUAUGUAGAGCUCUAUCAGCAGGGAAGAAAAUGACGGUACCUGAGUAAGAAGCCCCGGCUAACUACGUGCCAGCAGCCGCGGUAAUACGUAGGGGGCAAGCGUUAUCCGGAUUCACUGGGUGUAAGGGGAGCGUAGACGGCCAUGCAAGCCUGGAGUGAAAGCCCGGGGCCCAACCCCGGGACUGCUCUGGGAACUGUGCGGCUGGAGUGCGGGAGGGGCAGGCGGAAUUCCUGGUGUAGCGGUGAAAUGCGUAGAUAUUAGGAGGAACACCAGUGGCGAAGGCGGUCUGCUGGACAGCAACUGACGCUGAGGCGCGAAAGCGUGGGGAGCAAACAGGAUUAGAUACCCUCGUAC
Molecule: ribosomal RNA, 445 nt
Filed under: uncultured bacterium
Lineage: Bacteria
Description: bacterial SSU rRNA
Rfam family: Bacterial small subunit ribosomal RNA
Source: RNAcentral